RNAcentral lists this ribosomal RNA (1173 nucleotides) under Flavobacterium sp. ICM 1056. Its description in RNAcentral is "bacterial SSU rRNA". It matches the Rfam family "Bacterial small subunit ribosomal RNA", at positions 91 to 1270 of the family's 1533-position model. Lineage: Bacteria; Pseudomonadati; Bacteroidota; Flavobacteriia; Flavobacteriales; Flavobacteriaceae. The record is from RNAcentral.
GAGACCGGCGCACGGGUGCGUAACGCGUAUGCAAUCUACCUUUUACAGAGGGAUAGCCCAGAGAAAUUUGGAUUAAUACCUCAUAGUAUAGCAGUUUGGCAUGAAACCACUAUUAAAGUCACAACGGUAAAAGAUGAGCAUGCGUCCCAUUAGCUAGUUGGUAAGGUAACGGCUUACCAAGGCUACGAUGGGUAGGGGUCCUGAGAGGGAGAUCCCCCACACUGGUACUGAGACACGGACCAGACUCCUACGGGAGGCAGCAGUGAGGAAUAUUGGACAAUGGGCGCAAGCCUGAUCCAGCCAUGCCGCGUGCAGGAUGACGGUCCUAUGGAUUGUAAACUGCUUUUAUACGAGAAGAAACACUCCAACGUGUUGGAGCUUGACGGUAUCGUAAGAAUAAGGAUCGGCUAACUCCGUGCCAGCAGCCGCGGUAAUACGGAGGAUCCAAGCGUUAUCCGGAAUCAUUGGGUUUAAAGGGUCCGUAGGCGGUUUAAUAAGUCAGUGGUGAAAGCCCAUCGCUCAACGGUGGAACGGCCAUUGAUACUGUUAGACUUGAAUUAUUAGGAAGUAACUAGAAUAUGUAGUGUAGCGGUGAAAUGCUUAGAGAUUACAUGGAAUACCAAUUGCGAAGGCAGGUUACUACUAAUGGAUUGACGUUGAUGGACGAAAGCGUGGGUAGCGAACAGGAUUAGAUACCCUGGUAGUCCACGCCGUAAACGAUGGAUACUAGCUGUUGGAAGCAAUUUCAGUGGCUAAGCGAAAGUGAUAAGUAUCCCACCUGGGGAGUACGUUCGCAAGAAUGAAACUCAAAGGAAUUGACGGGGGCCCGCACAAGCGGUGGAGCAUGUGGUUUAAUUCGAUGAUACGCGAGGAACCUUACCAAGGCUUAAAUGUAGAUUGACCGGUUUGGAAACAGAUCUUUCGCAAGACAAUUUACAAGGUGCUGCAUGGUUGUCGUCAGCUCGUGCCGUGAGGUGUCAGGUUAAGUCCUAUAACGAGCGCAACCCCUGUUGUUAGUUGCCAGCGAGUCAAGUCGGGAACUCUAACAAGACUGCCAGUGCAAACUGUGAGGAAGGUGGGGAUGACGUCAAAUCAUCACGGCCCUUACGCCUUGGGCUACACACGUGCUACAAUGGCCGGUACAGAGAGCAGCCACUGGGCGACCAGGAGCGA